ACAAUCCAUCCAUCCCUGUUCCGUACAGUCAAACGUGGUAAUCGUGGAGGAAUCUUUUGGCUCCGUCAGUAGGUGGCUAAAAUCAAGUUGUCCCACAGCCGCCAGAUGACGCGAGUGUCUUUGAGAGGACGAAAUGUCGAAAUAUUCGCCAUUUCGUUCCGAAACGCCAAGUGAAAAGGCAAUCUGGCAUAUCAUUUCCACUUGGCUAAAUAAUCGAUCAAGUGGACUGAAACUACUUUUCAUUUUGCUUAAAUGUCCAUUGUUAGCUGUACCUGUUCGGAUGUACGUCUCAUCUCACGCAGAAACACUACAGAGUUGGUGUUCAGGUUGGAGAUCCUGUUGCUUAACUGUUGCAGAAUGUGAGAACUCGACAAAUUCUAUGCUCCAGCCGGAUCCUGAAGUGUCAUUGCAGGAAAACUUUUUGAAAUGAACUUGGUGACACUUAAACUAUGCCUGUGCAGUGGUUUUGCAGCCUGUUUCCAGUUGAGAGAUGUGAUUAUGCAGCUGAUACAGGAUUGAAGAAAAAGAACUUAAGUAGCUUUGCUGGUGUUCUUCUGAAAUUGCUGUGCCACAGGAGUUGCAGAUAGUGUUUGGUUCCUCAUAGAAGUUUAUUUAAAGAGUCUGGAGAUGAUCAGCCACUUCUGCCUAUAACUUAUGUAAAACGUCAAAGUUGUAA
This 676-nucleotide long non-coding RNA is filed under the name Daphnia pulicaria. RNAcentral's name for it is "uncharacterized LOC124350232, transcript variant X2". The record is from RNAcentral. Lineage: Eukaryota; Metazoa; Arthropoda; Branchiopoda; Diplostraca; Daphniidae.